Molecule: long non-coding RNA, 1159 nt
Organism: Paramacrobiotus metropolitanus
Lineage: Eukaryota; Metazoa; Tardigrada; Eutardigrada; Parachela; Macrobiotidae
Exons: 3
Source: RefSeq, a predicted model, not a curated record
GCAAAAGCAUCACACCAUAAUUAAUGGUCACGAAAUAAUUUCAAGUUACUGUACAAAUGUAAGAUAUUGUAGGAACGGCAAAGUGUUAACUGUAAUUAAUUUUUCAACGGUUAAUUAACGGUAAAGGUUUUUCGAACGGUGCUUUUAAACGAUAAAUUGGGACGGUAAAAUUAUUCAAGUCGGCAAAGGCAAAGGUAAAUUAGAAAAAGGCGGAGGGAAUCGGGAACGGGGCCGAGGGUGUAGUCGUACCGUUGGACUCAACUUCCUCCAAGUCUUUCGGCACUGCGCAUCCAUUCUGGAUUAGAACUUUCACCGACGCUAGGUCUCCGCACUCAUCGCAUCCUCUCCCCUUGCUGCAGUUAUCCAGAACUCUUAGCUCAGUGGUAAAAGCAUAUGCCGGAAUAGGAGACAACCCAUUCCAGGUUUCAUGCCGGCCCGAGAACCAGUAAGCGAUGUUGACUGCGUAAUCUUUGCCUGCCACACUUCCAAUGGGCGCACCGGCGGUGAUCUUCUGCAAACAGUUCCACUUAUCUACACAAUCAUCAGCACCGGCACGAAACAGCUCCCCUCGAGAAUACUGUCGUUGUCGGGACAAAACGUUUUACCUGUCAGACAUACACAUACACCCAUUUACUGCUUUUCUCUUUUACAGAACUUUCUUCAAUCGGCUACUGCUGUCACUUGAAUUUUGAUGCGGGACCACAGGAAUUGUGGCUGUUAGUGCGCCCACAGCGAGGAAGGGGUCGGCUCUGUGAUUAUCUGGCAAGUAUCCAAAUGACGGCUUAGAGAAAACCGGAGACUCUGUCAGACGCUUUCUUGCAUGAAGACCUUGCAGCAGCAUUUACAUUCGGCACGGAAAUCACCUGAAAUUUGGGAAAAGGAAGUUGGUUGAGUGGAUGACAAUAAUAUUUGCAGGAAUUUCGCUUGUUAGUUUCAGCGUUCUGGCUGUUUUCCGGCGAAUAGCACUUUAAUAUUUUUGCAUGUAUGCAGCAUUCUUCGCAAUAUUAGCAACACUUUACCGGAAUCCAAGAGGCUUCGGACCGAUCGGAAUAUUAUACAUACCCACUUAAGAGUGGCGAGAUCUAUGCAUUUUAGGCGUAACGACAACUGUUUUUCAACUGCACGCUUUCACCUUGCUUUGAAAUCUCUCAUUCUUGAU